Molecule: ribosomal RNA, 158 nt
Filed under: Rhizoctonia bicornis
Lineage: Eukaryota; Fungi; Basidiomycota; Agaricomycetes; Cantharellales; Ceratobasidiaceae
Description: 5.8S ribosomal RNA
Rfam family: 5.8S ribosomal RNA
About the family: 5.8S ribosomal RNA (5.8S rRNA) is a component of the large subunit of the eukaryotic ribosome. It is transcribed by RNA polymerase I as part of the 45S precursor that also contains 18S and 28S rRNA. Functionally, it is thought that 5.8S rRNA may be involved in ribosome translocation.
Source: RNAcentral
UAAGUUUCAACAACGGAUCUCUUGGCUCUCGCAUCGAUGAAGAACGCAGCGAAAUGCGAUAAGUAAUGUGAAUUGCAGAAUUCAGUGAAUCAUCGAAUCUUUGAACGCACCUUGCGCCCCUUGGUAUUCCUUGGAGCAUGCCUGUUUGAGUAUCAUGA